Molecule: long non-coding RNA, 664 nt
Filed under: Homo sapiens (human)
Lineage: Eukaryota; Metazoa; Chordata; Mammalia; Primates; Hominidae
Description: HSALNT0115537
Source: RNAcentral
ACUGAGGGAUAUAUGCCACAGGAUUAAUUUGAAUUGGGGAAAUAAGGCAGUGAUUUUUGCCUGAAUAUUAAUAUCACUGAAAUAUCUAGAUAAUUAAGUUGAUGUAUUAAUAGGACUUAGAUUUUCUGCCACAUGUAGCCAAAAUCUACAGAACUGCCUGAUUUUCUUCUAAUUCUAUUUACUGUGUGUCAUAGGGACAUAAUUUAUUUUUUAAAAUAUUUUUUACCAUAUUCCUCUCCCUAUCCCUUCCUCCCACUGAAGGAGAAUCUUUUCUAGCCUGGCUCCUGGAUAUUGUCCGAUGAUGAAUUAGAAGAAAGAUAAGGCCCUAGAAGCCCAGAGAGUGGAGGGAGGACAAAGCCAGAGAAGAUAAGCUGAUCUACUUAUAAAGAUUUCGGGAUAUGAGAAACCGGGAAAAUCAUUAUACCUGGGACUGUGGAGUCAGUUUGGGGUUUUAAGCUGGGAGAAGCUACGCAGAAGAGAAGUAGGGGAAGGAGGAAGGGAAUUUGAGGAGUGUUGUUGUGUAUUAUUAAAUAGCUCUUUUUUGAUGUUCUUCUAGAAACAUAAGUGAAGAUUAGCGCUCCCUGUGAAAGUUUACUUUUUGGUGGCCGGGCUGUGGGUCUGUGUUACGAUUCCAUACAGAUGCCAGGCCACUUGAAGCUGCAGG